Molecule: ribosomal RNA, 440 nt
Filed under: uncultured bacterium
Lineage: Bacteria
Description: partial 16S ribosomal RNA
Rfam family: Bacterial small subunit ribosomal RNA
Source: RNAcentral
CCUACGGGUGGCAGCAGUGGGGAAUAUUGCACAAUGGGGGAAACCCUGAUGCAGCGACGCCGCGUGAGCGAUGAAGUAUUUCGGUAUGUAAAGCUCUAUCAGCAGGGAAGAAGAUGACGGUACCUGACUAAGAAGCCCCGGCUAACUACGUGCCAGCAGCCGAGGUAAUACGGAGGGGGCAAGCGUUAUCCGGAUUUACUGGGGGUAAAGGGAGCGUAGACGGCGGUGCAAUCCAGAUGUGAAAGGCCGGGGCCCAACCCCGGGACUGCAUUUGGAACUGUGUGGCUGGAGUGUCGGAGAGGCGGGCGGAAUUCCUAGUGUAGCGGUGAAAUGCGUAGAUAUUAGGAGGAACACCAGUGGCGAAGGCGGCCUGCUGGACGAUGACUGACGUUGAGGCUCGAAAGCGUGGGGAGCAAACAGGAUUAGAUACCCCUGUAGUC